CCUACGGGAGGCAGCAGUGGGGGAUAUUGCACAAUGGGGGGAACCCUGAUGCAGCGACGCCGCGUGGGUGAAGGAGCGUUUCGGCGCGUAAAGCCCUAUCGGCAGGGACGAAAAUGACGGUACCUGGGGAGGAAGCUCCGGCUAACUACGUGCCAGCAGCCGCGGUAAUACGUAGGGGGCAAGCGUUGUCCGGAAUUACUGGGUGUAAAGGGAGCGUAGGCGGGGAUGCAAGUUGGGUGUAAAAACUAUCGGCUCAACCGAUAGUCGCACUCAAAACUGCAGCUCUUGAGUGCAGUAGAGGCAGGCGGAAUUCCUGGUGUAGCGGUGAAAUGCGUAGAUAUUAGGAGGAACACCAGUGGCGAAGGCGGCCUGCUGGGCUUUUACUGACGCUGAGGCUCGAAAGUGUGGGGAGCAAACAGGAUUAGAUACCCUGGUAGUC
RNAcentral lists this ribosomal RNA (439 nucleotides) under uncultured bacterium. RNAcentral describes it as "partial 16S ribosomal RNA". It matches the Rfam family "Bacterial small subunit ribosomal RNA", at positions 338 to 795 of the family's 1533-position model. The record is from RNAcentral.